RNAcentral lists this ribosomal RNA (309 nucleotides) under uncultured bacterium. RNAcentral's name for it is "partial 16S ribosomal RNA". It matches the Rfam family "Bacterial small subunit ribosomal RNA", at positions 504 to 807 of the family's 1533-position model. The record is from RNAcentral.
AGAGACAGCAGUCGCCGCGGUAAAACGGAGGGUGCAAGCGUUAAUCGGAAUUACUGGGCGUAAAGCGCACGCAGGCGGUCUGACAAGUCAGAUGUGAAAUCCCCGGGCUUAACCUGGGAACUGCAUUUGAAACUGUCAGGCUGGAGUCUUGUAGAGGGGGGUGGAAUUCCAGGUGUAGCGGUGAAAUGCGUAGAGAUCUGGAGGAAUACCGGUGGCGAAGGCGGCCCCCUGGACAAAGACUGACGCUCAGGUGCGAAAGCGUGGGGAGCAAACAGGAUUAGAUACCCCUGUAGUCCCUGUCUCUUAUAC